This 85-nucleotide transfer RNA is filed under the name Ekhidna lutea. It matches the Rfam family "tRNA". Rfam says of the family: Transfer RNA (tRNA) molecules are approximately 80 nucleotides in length. Their secondary structure includes four short double-helical elements and three loops (D, anti-codon, and T loops). RNAcentral also lists the same sequence under 5 other names. The record is from Rfam by way of RNAcentral. Lineage: Bacteria; Pseudomonadati; Bacteroidota; Cytophagia; Cytophagales; Reichenbachiellaceae.
GCCUCGGUGGUGGAAUUGGUAGACACGCAGGACUUAAAAUCCUGUGACCAUUGCGGUCGUGCGGGUUCAAGUCCCGCCCGAGGUA